GCAGGCAUGGCUGAGUAGAAAAAGCAUUGGACUUGAAAUCCACUCGGACCUAUUUUCCUGCGCAGGUUCAAACCCUUCCUAUUGCG
RNAcentral lists this transfer RNA (86 nucleotides) under Tropilaelaps mercedesae. It matches the Rfam family "tRNA". Rfam says of the family: Transfer RNA (tRNA) molecules are approximately 80 nucleotides in length. Their secondary structure includes four short double-helical elements and three loops (D, anti-codon, and T loops). The record is from Rfam by way of RNAcentral. Lineage: Eukaryota; Metazoa; Arthropoda; Arachnida; Mesostigmata; Laelapidae.